UAACACAUGCAAGUCGAACGAAGCGAUUAAGAUGAAGUUUUCGGAUGGAAUCUUGAUUGACUGAGUGGCGGACGGGUGAGUAACGCGUGGAUAACCUGCCUCACACUGGGGGAUAACAGUUAGAAAUGACUGCUAAUACCGCAUAAGCGCACAGUGCCGCAUGGCAGUGUGUGAAAAACUCCGGUGGUGUGAGAUGGAUCCGCGUCUGAUUAGCCAGUUGGCGGGGUAACGGCCCACCAAAGCGACGAUCAGUAGCCGACCUGAGAGGGUGACCGGCCACAUUGGGACUGAGACACGGCCCAAACUCCUACGGGAGGCAGCAGUGGGGAAUAUUGCACAAUGGGCGAAAGCCUGAUGCAGCGACGCCGCGUGAGUGAAGAAGUAUUUCGGUAUGUAAAGCUCUAUCAGCAGGGAAGAAAAUGACGGUACCUGACUAAGAAGCCCCGGCUAACUACGUGCCAGCAGCCGCGGUAAUACGUAGGGGGCAAGCGUUAUCCGGAUUUACUGGGUGUAAAGGGAGCGUAGACGGCGAAGCAAGUCUGAAGUGAAAACCCAGGGCUCAACCCUGGGACUGCUUUGGAAACUGUUUUGCUAGAGUGUCGGAGAGGUAAGUGGAAUUCCUAGUGUAGCGGUGAAAUGCGUAGAUAUUAGGAGGAACACCAGUGGCGAAGGCGGCUUACUGGACGAUAACUGACGUUGAGGCUCG
Molecule: ribosomal RNA, 706 nt
Filed under: uncultured Lachnospiraceae bacterium
Lineage: Bacteria; Bacillati; Bacillota; Clostridia; Lachnospirales; Lachnospiraceae
Description: bacterial SSU rRNA
Rfam family: Bacterial small subunit ribosomal RNA
Source: RNAcentral